UGGGAAUUUUGGACAAUGGGCGCAAGCCUGAUCCAGCAAUGCCGCGUGCAGGAUGAAGGCCUUCGGGUUGUAAACUGCUUUUGUACGGAACGAAAAGCCUCUCUCUAAUACAGGGGGUGAUGACGGUACCGUAAGAAUAAGCACCGGCUAACUACGUGCCAGCAGCCGCGGUAAUACGUAGGGUGCAAGCGUUAAUCGGAAUUACUGGGCGUAAAGCGUGCGCAGGCGGUUUUGUAAGACAGUGGUGAAAUCCCCGGGCUCAACCUGGGAACUGCCAUUGUGACUGCAAGGCUGGAGUGCGGCAGAGGGGGAUGGAAUUCCGCGUGUAGCAGUGAAAUGCGUAGAUAUGCGGAGGAACACCGAUGGCGAAGGCAGUCCCCCUGGGCCUGCANUGACGCUCAUGCACGAAAGCGUGGGGAGCAAACAGAUUAGAUACCCUGGUAGUCCACGCCCUAAACGAUGUCAACUGGUUGUUGGGGAUUUAUUUCUUCAGUAACGAAGCUAACGCGUGAAGUUGACCGCCUGGGGGAGUACGGCC
Molecule: ribosomal RNA, 538 nt
Filed under: uncultured bacterium
Lineage: Bacteria
Description: partial 16S ribosomal RNA
Rfam family: Bacterial small subunit ribosomal RNA
Source: RNAcentral